Etheostoma spectabile (orangethroat darter) is the source of this 203-nucleotide long non-coding RNA. RefSeq lists it as uncharacterized. The record is from RefSeq and is a predicted model, not a curated record. The transcript is spliced from 3 exons. Lineage: Eukaryota; Metazoa; Chordata; Actinopteri; Perciformes; Percidae.
GUUCCGUUUGUACUCGUAAGUCGGAUUUUCUGAAGUCAAAGUCGGAACCCCGCCCCCUGACUUCGGAUUUCCGGGCUGGGCACUCGGACAACCUCGCAGUACCCCGAGCUCAAAAUCCAACAUGGCCGCCCUGUGCUUCAACAGUUGUGAAAGCUGUAGUAACAGUCAGUUAUUAGCACGUCUGUCUUUAAAUAAGACUUACA